This 1376-nucleotide long non-coding RNA is filed under the name Lathyrus oleraceus (garden pea). RNAcentral's name for it is "Pisum sativum (pea) long non-coding RNA (PSAT_LNC033770)". Lineage: Eukaryota; Viridiplantae; Streptophyta; Magnoliopsida; Fabales; Fabaceae. The record is from RNAcentral.
UUACCAGUUAAGUCAGAAAUAACACUUGAUUCUAAACAAAUAUUAAGUUUUCAUAGCAUGUGAUUGCAACCCAAUAUCAAGUCAUACUCAAACAACUCGUACAUAAUGUUUUUAUGAUACAGUACCUUAAAUAAAACACGUUUCACUAUUUCAUUACAGAUUAUCCGCCAUGUAAACAUGCUCCAAUAGAAUGAAAAAAACAUGAAAAACUAUCUUACCUCAUGAAACAUACUUAGAAUACCAUAGCUGGAGAUGGUUAGUUAGUACUACUAUUUUGCCAAAACAAUUCAAUCGUUAAAGCAACUAUAUUCAUGCUUUUUUCAAUCAACAGAUAAGUCUGAUGCACUUAUCUAAAUAAAUAUUUCAUUGUGCAGAGAAAAGUUUCUCAACAAAUAUCUUUUUAAGUACUAAUCGCUUGGUGUUUUGUACAGAAAAAGGCUGAAAGAUAAAUGCAUGACUGCUGAACACUAUAUUACAAGUUCUAAAUAGAUGGCAAUUUGAUAACUGGUGAAUUUCUUCUAUCAGUCAAUGCAACAUAUACAUAACAGUAACUUGAGGAGCAGGAAGUAUGGCCAGAGGAAAUAACUCCAGUAACAAAUCAAUAAUAAUAAUUUGUAAUUUGCCGAUUACUCCUUAAAAUUGGAAUGUAGGCCUUUUUUCACUUCCCUCUCUCCCAUGAGUUCACUAAUAUCUGACAGUGUUAUAAUAUAUUUACAAACCAAACCUUUUUGGUCUCAAGAAUGUGGACGAACCCUUUUUCAAACCUGGCAUGGAAAUUUGCUGCUGAUUCUUGGCCAUUUUUUCUUUCUCCUUCUGUUUAUUUUCCCUCUCGAACUCUGCUUGUUCCUUCUUUAAAUUUUCCAUUUCCUCUUCCAUGGCCGUUUUCUCUUGCUUCUGUUUCUUUUUAUGUUCUAGUAGUGAUGUAUCAGACUCUUUCACAGAGAAAAACAUAGGUCCCAACACAUUUCCUCUUCCAUGGCCGUUUUCUCUUGCUUCUGUUUCUUUUUAUGUUCUAGUAGUGAUGUAUCAGACUCUUUCACAGAGAAAAACAUAGGUCCCAACUCCGCAAGCCAGUGGGGCUCUACCGCUGUGGCACACUGCAUGUACUCCUUUGUUGUUAGGAUUAACUCGUGAUAAACUACAUAAUCAGGAGUGCAACCCAUGCCAUAGAGAGCGCUACUGGGAUGAAGGUGACAUGGCAUCCCAUUUCGUGAGUUAACAUACUCCCCGACACCCUUUAAUCUUGCUGAAUUGUGGAAGUACGCAGAACAAAUUGCCUUUCUGACAACAUCUGUAUCGGGCCAGCAUGUGGUUAACGGAAUUUUGAGAGUCUUGAGAAUAUCAAGCAGCUGGGAUCUUACCUCUCUAGCCUUUCU